CACGUAGGAGGCGAGCGUUAUCCGGAUUUACUGGGCGUAAAGCGCGUGCAGGCGGUUGGGUAAGUUGGAUGUGAAAGCUCCUGGCUUAACUGGGAGAGGUCGUUCAAUACUACCUGACUUGAGAGUGGUAGAGGAAAGCGGAAUUCCGGGUGUAGUGGUGAAAUGCGUAGAUAUCCGGAGGAACACCAGUGGCGAAAGCGGCUUUCUGGACCAUUUCUGACGCUCAGACGCGAAAGCUAGGGUAGCAAACGGGAUUAGAGACCCCGGUAGUCCUAGCUGUAAACGAUGUGAACUUGGCGUCGGUGGCUUCAAAACCAUCGGUGCCGCAGCAAACGCGAUAAGUUCACCGCCUGGGGAGUACGGUCGCAAGAUUAAA
Molecule: ribosomal RNA, 376 nt
Filed under: uncultured bacterium
Lineage: Bacteria
Description: bacterial SSU rRNA
Rfam family: Bacterial small subunit ribosomal RNA
Source: RNAcentral